RNAcentral lists this ribosomal RNA (497 nucleotides) under uncultured bacterium. RNAcentral's name for it is "partial 16S ribosomal RNA". It matches the Rfam family "Bacterial small subunit ribosomal RNA", at positions 28 to 507 of the family's 1533-position model. The record is from RNAcentral.
GAUGAACGCUGGCGGCGUGCCUAAUACAUGCAAGUCGAGCGAACGGACGAGAAGCUUGCUUCUCUGAUGUUAGCGGCGGACGGGUAAGUAACACGUGGAUAACCUACCUAUAAGACUGGGAUAACUUCGGGAAACCGGAGCUAAUACCGGAUAAUAUUUUGAACCGCAUGGUUCAAAAGUGAAAGACGGUCUUGCUGUCACUUAUAGAUGGAUCCGCGCUGCAUUAGCUAGUUGGUAAGGUAACGGCUUACCAAGGCAACGAUGCAUAGCCGACCUGAGAGGGUGAUCGGCCACCCUGGAACUGAGACACGGUCCAGACUCCUACGGGAGGCAGCAGUAGGGAAUCUUCCGCAAUGGGCGAAAGCCUGACGGAGCAACGCCGCGUGAGUGAUGAAGGUCUUCGGAUCGUAAAACUCUGUUAUUAGGGAAGAACAUAUGUGUAAGUAACUGUGCACAUCUUGACGGUACCUAAUCAGAAAGCCACGGCUAACUACGUG